RNAcentral lists this ribosomal RNA (497 nucleotides) under uncultured bacterium. RNAcentral's name for it is "partial 16S ribosomal RNA". It matches the Rfam family "Bacterial small subunit ribosomal RNA", at positions 28 to 507 of the family's 1533-position model. The record is from RNAcentral.
GAUGAACGCUGGCGGCGUGCCUAAUACAUGCAAGUCGAGCGAACGGACGAGAAGCUUGCUUCUCUGAUGUUAGCGGCGGACGUGUGAGUAACACGUGGAUAACCUACCUAUCAGACUGGGAUAACUUCGGGAAACCGGCGCUAAUACCGUAUGAUAUUUUGAACCGCAUGGUUCAAAAGUGAAAGACGGUCUUUCUGUCACUUCUAGAUGGAUCCGCGCUGCAUUAGCUAGUUGGUAAGGUAACGGCUUACCAAGGCAACGAUGCAUAGCCGACCUGAGAGGGUGAUCGGCCACACUGGAACUGAGACACGGUCCAGACUCCUACGGGAGGCAGCAGUAGGGAAUCUUCCGCAAUGGGCGAAAGCCUGACGGAGCAACGCCGCGUGAGUGAUGAAGGUCUUCGGAUCGUAAAACUCUGUUAUUAGGGAAGAACAUAUGUGUAAGUAACUGUGCACGUCUUGACGGUACCUAAUCAGAAAGCCACGGCUAACUACGUG